RNAcentral lists this ribosomal RNA (639 nucleotides) under uncultured Actinomycetes bacterium. Its description in RNAcentral is "bacterial SSU rRNA". It matches the Rfam family "Bacterial small subunit ribosomal RNA", at positions 232 to 885 of the family's 1533-position model. The record is from RNAcentral. Lineage: Bacteria; Bacillati; Actinomycetota; Actinomycetes.
CGCGGCCUAUCAGCUUGUUGGUGAGGUAACGGUUCACCAAGGCAUCGACGGGUAGCUGGUCUGAGAGGACGAUCAGCCACACUGGGACUGAGACACGGCCCAGACUCCUACGGGAGGCAGCAGUAGGGAAUCUUGCGCAAUGGGCGAAAGCCUGACGCAGCAACGCCGCGUGGGGGAUGAAUGCCUUCGGGUUGUAAACCCCUUUCAGCAGGGACGAAAAUGACGGUACCUGCAGAAGAAGCUCCGGCCAACUACGUGCCAGCAGCCGCGGUAAUACGUAGGGAGCGAGCGUUGUCCGGAAUUAUUGGGCGUAAAGAGCUCGUAGGCGGUUCAGUAAGUCGGGUGUGAAAACUCAAGGCUCAACCUUGAGACGCCACUCGAUACUGCUGUGACUUGAGUCCGGUAGAGGAGUGUGGAAUUCCUGGUGUAGCGGUGAAAUGCGCAGAUAUCAGGAGGAACACCAGCGGCGAAGGCGGCACUCUGGGCCGGUACUGACGCUGAGGAGCGAAAGCAUGGGGAGCAAACAGGAUUAGAUACCCUGGUAGUCCAUGCCGUAAACGUUGGGCACUAGGUAUGGGAUCAUAUCAACGGAUUCCGUGCCGUAGCUAACGCAUUAAGUGCCCCGCCUGGGGAGUACGG